Molecule: non-coding RNA, 330 nt
Organism: Cyanistes caeruleus (blue tit)
Lineage: Eukaryota; Metazoa; Chordata; Aves; Passeriformes; Paridae
Source: RefSeq, a predicted model, not a curated record
GCCCGACCUGCAGCACUUCCUGAGGGCAGCUGCUGCGGGGCACUCGGCGCCGUCACCGGAGCUGCCGCCUGAGCCGGGCUCUACUCCCGGGAGCCCGAAAGUGUACCUGGAGACCUACGGCUGCCAGAUGAAUGUCAGUGACACUGAGAUCGCCUGGGCCAUCCUGCAGAAGAAUGGCUAUGCCAGGACAAAGGAGCUGGAUGAGGCAGAUGUGGUUCUUCUUGUCACCUGUUCUGUGAGGGAGAAGGCCGAGCAGGCCAUCUGGAACCGUCUGCAGCACCUCAAGGCGCUGAAGGCCCGGCGGCCGCAGGCUCGUGCUCCGCUCCGCAU